Molecule: transfer RNA, 77 nt
Filed under: Podarcis lilfordi (Lilford's wall lizard)
Lineage: Eukaryota; Metazoa; Chordata; Lepidosauria; Squamata; Lacertidae
Description: tRNA.Ile
Rfam family: tRNA
About the family: Transfer RNA (tRNA) molecules are approximately 80 nucleotides in length. Their secondary structure includes four short double-helical elements and three loops (D, anti-codon, and T loops).
Source: RNAcentral
UGCCAGUUAGCUCAGUUGGUUAGAGCAUGGUGCUGAUAACGCCAAGGGUCAUGGGUUUGAUCCCCAUAUGGGUGCAU